GGGGGAAUCUUGCGCAAUGGGCGAAAGCCUGACGCAGCCAUGCCGCGUGAAUGAUGAAGGUCUUAGGAUUGUAAAAUUCUUUCACCGGGGACGAUAAUGACGGUACCCGGAGAAGAAGCCCCGGCUAACUUCGUGCCAGCAGCCGCGGUAAUACGAAGGGGGCUAGCGUUGCUCGGAAUUACUGGGCGUAAAGGGCGCGUAGGCGGACAUUUAAGUCAGGGGUGAAAUCCCAGAGCUCAACUCUGGAACUGCCUUUGAUACUGGGUGUCUUGAGUGUGAGAGAGGUAUGUGGAACUCCGAGUGUAGAGGUGAAAUUCGUAGAUAUUCGGAAGAACACCAGUGGCGAAGGCGACAUACUGGCUCAUUACUGACGCUGAGGCGCGAAAGCGUGGGGAGCAAA
RNAcentral lists this ribosomal RNA (400 nucleotides) under uncultured bacterium. RNAcentral describes it as "bacterial SSU rRNA". It matches the Rfam family "Bacterial small subunit ribosomal RNA", at positions 355 to 772 of the family's 1533-position model. The record is from RNAcentral.